RNAcentral lists this unclassified non-coding RNA (292 nucleotides) under Hevea brasiliensis (rubber tree). Lineage: Eukaryota; Viridiplantae; Streptophyta; Magnoliopsida; Malpighiales; Euphorbiaceae. The record is from RNAcentral.
GGAAAUUGGUGGAAGAGAAGGAGUGGCCAUUGUUGGAGUAAGAGGAGCGGCGGAAGAUGAUGGAGUGAUAGAGGUUUCGAAGGGAGAGGAAGACAUAUUUUCUUAAGGAGUCUAAAGCUCUGAUACCAUGUGAGAGUUUGAGAAUGGGAGAAAUAAUUGCCGUCUAUUUUAUUAAUGAAUAAUUAACAUAUUUAUAGUGUACAAUAAAAGAGAUUAAUUACAAGUAUAAGACUAAGUAUAAGAUCCACAUAAUACGGCAUUUGAAUAUAUCUAACAUUGAAAUCUCAGACAC